Molecule: ribosomal RNA, 922 nt
Filed under: gut metagenome
Description: bacterial SSU rRNA
Rfam family: Bacterial small subunit ribosomal RNA
Source: RNAcentral
AGAGUUUGAUCCUGGCUCAGGAUGAACGCUAGCGGCAGGCUUAACACAUGCAAGUCGAGGGGCAGCAUAAUGGAUAGCAAUAUCUAUGGUGGCGACCGGCGCACGGGUGCGUAACGCGUAUGCAACCUACCUUUAACAGGGGGAUAACACUGAGAAAUUGGUACUAAUACCCCAUAAUAUCAUAGAAGGCAUCUUUUAUGGUUGAAAAUUCCGAUGGUUAGAGAUGGGCAUGCGUUGUAUUAGCUAGUUGGUGGGGUAACGGCUCACCAAGGCGACGAUACAUAGGGGGACUGAGAGGUUAACCCCCCACACUGGUACUGAGACACGGACCAGACUCCUACGGGAGGCAGCAGUGAGGAAUAUUGGUCAAUGGACGCAAGUCUGAACCAGCCAUGCCGCGUGCAGGAUGACGGCUCUAUGAGUUGUAAACUGCUUUUGUACGAGGGUAAACGCAGAUACGUGUAUCUGUCUGAAAGUAUCGUACGAAUAAGGAUCGGCUAACUCCGUGCCAGCAGCCGCGGUAAUACGGAGGAUUCAAGCGUUAUCCGGAUUUAUUGGGUUUAAAGGGUGCGUAGGCGGUUUGAUAAGUUAGAGGUGAAAUUUCGGGGCUCAACCCUGAACGUGCCUCUAAUACUGUUGAGCUAGAGAGUAGUUGCGGUAGGCGGAAUGUAUGGUGUAGCGGUGAAAUGCUUAGAGAUCAUACAGAACACCGAUUGCGAAGGCAGCUUACCAAACUAUAUCUGACGUUGAGGCACGAAAGCGUGGGGAGCAAACAGGAUUAGAUACCCUGGUAGUCCACGCAGUAAACGAUGAUAACUCGUUGUCGGCGAUACACAGUCGGUGACUAAGCGAAAGCGAUAAGUUAUCCACCUGGGGAGUACGUUCGCAAGAAUGAAACUCAAAGGAAUUGACGGGGGCCCGC